RNAcentral lists this ribosomal RNA (468 nucleotides) under uncultured bacterium. RNAcentral's name for it is "partial 16S ribosomal RNA". It matches the Rfam family "Bacterial small subunit ribosomal RNA", at positions 28 to 507 of the family's 1533-position model. The record is from RNAcentral.
GACGAACGCUGGCGGCGUGCUUAACACAUGCAAGUCGAACGGAAAGGCCCUGCUUUUGUGGGGUGCUCGAGUGGCGAACGGGUGAGUAACACGUUAGUAACCUGCCCUUGACUUUGUGAUAACUUCAGGAAACUGGGGCUAAUACCGGAUAGGAGCUCCUGCUGCAUUGUUUUGUUUGGAAAUUUUCGGCGGUUGGGGAUGGACUCGCGGCUUAUCAGCUUGUUGGUGGGGUAGUGGCUUACCAAGGCUUUGACGGGUAGCCGGCCUGAGAGGGUGACCGGACAAAAUGGGACUGAGAUACGGACCAGAGUAGAACGGGAGGCAGAAGGGGGGAAUAUGGCAGAAUGGGAGGAAGCAUGAUGCAGAAAAGCGGCGAGCGGGAUGACGGCAUUCGGGGUGUAAAAAGAUUUCGAAUGUGACGAAGCGUGAGUGACGGUAAUGGGUAAAGAAGCAACGGCUAAAUACGUG